This 280-nucleotide ribosomal RNA is filed under the name uncultured Pseudomonadota bacterium. RNAcentral describes it as "uncultured proteobacterium partial 16S ribosomal RNA". It matches the Rfam family "Bacterial small subunit ribosomal RNA", at positions 338 to 610 of the family's 1533-position model. The record is from RNAcentral. Lineage: Bacteria; Pseudomonadati; Pseudomonadota.
CCUACGGGAGGCAGCAGUGGGGAAUUUUGGACAAUGGGCGAAAGCCUGAUCCAGCCAUUCCGCGUGCAGGAUGAAGGCCUUCGGGUUGUAAACUGCUUUUGUACGGAACGAAAAGGCUCUUUCUAAUACAGAGGGCUCAUGACGGUACCGUAAGAAUAAGCACCGGCUAACUACGUGCCAGCAGCCGCGGUAAUACGUAGGGUGCAAGCGUUAAUCGGAAUUACUGGGCGUAAAGCGUGCGCAGGCGGUUUUGUAAGACAGAGGUGAAAUCCCCGGGCUC